GUGGGGAAUAUUGGACAAUGGGGGGAACCCUGAUCCAGCCAUGCCGCGUGUGUGAAGAAGGCCUUUUGGUUGUAAAGCACUUUAAGCGAGGAGGAGGCUACCGAGAUUAAUACUCUUGGAUAGUGGACGUUACUCGCAGAAUAAGCACCGGCUAACUCUGUGCCAGCAGCCGCGGUAAUACAGAGGGUGCAAGCGUUAAUCGGAUUUACUGGGCGUAUAGCGCGCGUAGGUGGCCAAUUAAGUCAAAUGUGAAAUCACCGAGCUUAACUUGGGAAUGGCAUUCGAUACUGGUUGGCUAGAGUAUGGGAGAGGAUGGUAGAAUUCCAGGUGUAGCGGUGAAAUGCGUAGAGAUCUGGAGGAAUACCGAUGGCGAAGGCAGCCAUCUGGCCUAAUACUGACACUGAGGUGCGAAAGCAUGGGGAGCAAACAGGAUUAGAAACCCCUGUAGUCC
RNAcentral lists this ribosomal RNA (451 nucleotides) under uncultured bacterium. RNAcentral describes it as "partial 16S ribosomal RNA". It matches the Rfam family "Bacterial small subunit ribosomal RNA", at positions 354 to 796 of the family's 1533-position model. The record is from RNAcentral.